Molecule: ribosomal RNA, 496 nt
Filed under: uncultured bacterium
Lineage: Bacteria
Description: partial 16S ribosomal RNA
Rfam family: Bacterial small subunit ribosomal RNA
Source: RNAcentral
GAUGAACGCUGGCGGCGUGCCUAAUACAUGCAAGUCGAGCGAACAGACGAGGAGCUUGCUCCUCUGAUGUUAGCGGCGGACGGGUGAGUAACACGUGGAUAACCUACCUAUAAGACUGGGAUAACUUCGGGAAACCGGAGCUAAUACCGGAUAACAUGUUGAACCGCAUGGUUCAACAGUGAAAGACGGUCUUGCUGUCACUUAUAGAUGGAUCCGCGCCGCAUUAGCUAGUUGGUAAGGUACGGCUUACCAAGGCAACGAUGCGUAGCCGACCUGAGAGGGUGAUCGGCCAGACUGGAACUGAGACACGGUCCAGACUCCUACGGGAGGCAGCAGUAGGGAAUCUUCCGCAAUGGGCGAAAGCCUGACGGAGCAACGCCGCGUGAGUGAAGAAGGUCUUCGGAUCGUAAAACUCUGUUAUUAGGGAAGAACAAAUGUGUAAGUAACUAUGCACGUCUUGACGGUACCUAAUCAGAAAGCCACGGCUAACUACGUG